GAAAGACCCCGUGAACCUUUACUAUAGCUUAGUAUUGGCUUUGGAUAAGUAAUGUGUAGGAUAGGUGGGAGACUAUGAAGUGGCGUCGCUAGGCGUUGUGGAGUCGUCCUUGAAAUACCACCCUUUGCUUGUCUAGAGUCUAACUCAGAAAUGAGAACAGUGCUUGGUGGGUAGUUUGACUGGGGUGGUCGCCUCCAAAAGAGUAACGGAGGCUUCUAAAGGUACCCUCAGUACGCUUGGUAACCGUACGUAGAGUGCAAUGGCAUAAGGGUGCUUGACUGAGAGACAUACAGGUCGAUCAGGUUGGAAACAAGAGCAUAGUGAUCCGGUGGUUCCGCAUGGAAGGGCCAUCGCUCAAAGGAUAAAAGGUACGCCGGGGAUAACAGGCUGAUGAUUCCCAAGAGCUCAUAUCGACGGAAUCGUUUGGCACCUCGAUGUCGGCUC
RNAcentral lists this ribosomal RNA (444 nucleotides) under Pseudo-nitzschia pungens. RNAcentral describes it as "partial Bacterial large subunit ribosomal RNA". It matches the Rfam family "Bacterial large subunit ribosomal RNA", at positions 2083 to 2538 of the family's 2925-position model. Lineage: Eukaryota; Bacillariophyta; Bacillariophyceae; Bacillariales; Bacillariaceae. The record is from RNAcentral.